This 442-nucleotide ribosomal RNA is filed under the name Maymena mayana. RNAcentral describes it as "partial 16S ribosomal RNA". It matches the Rfam family "Bacterial large subunit ribosomal RNA", at positions 1828 to 2600 of the family's 2925-position model. Lineage: Eukaryota; Metazoa; Arthropoda; Arachnida; Araneae; Mysmenidae. The record is from RNAcentral.
UUUCUUGAUGGUAUAAAAUCAAGUAUAAUCUGCUCCAUGAACAAUUAAAUAGCCGCAGAAAUUUAACUGUGCUAAGGUAGCAUAAUCAUUAGUCUUUUAAUUAAAGACCAGUAUGAAAGAUUUAACAGCUCAAAAUCUAUCAUUACUUAAAACUUUUAAAUUUUAUUAAAAAUAAAAAUAUUUUUAUUUACUAAUAAGACGACAAGACCCUAUUGAACUUUACUUCAGUUUAGCUGGGGCAGCUAUUCAAUAAUUAUUUUGAAUUUGAAAAUUAAAUAGAUAUCUAAUAUAAAUAAAUUAUCAAGUUACCAUAGGGAUAACAGCGUAAUUAAAUUUAAAAGUUCUUAUUAAAAAUUUAGAUUACGACCUCGAUGUUGAAUUAUUAUUCCUCUUUUACGCAAAAGUAAAACCAGGAGGUCUGUUCGACCUUUAAAUUAAUACA